RNAcentral lists this long non-coding RNA (504 nucleotides) under Salmo salar (Atlantic salmon). RNAcentral describes it as "lncRNA (ENSSSAG00000112302.1, ENSSSAG00000116149.1)". Lineage: Eukaryota; Metazoa; Chordata; Actinopteri; Salmoniformes; Salmonidae. The record is from RNAcentral.
CGUGCUUCUACACCUGCAUUGCUUGCUGUUUGGGGUUUUAGGCUGGGUUUCUGUACAGCACUUUGAGAUAUCAGUUUAUGUAAGAAGGGCAAUAUAAAUACAUUUGAUUUGAUUUGAUUUGAUUAGUAGUAGUGGUAGUAGCAGCGGUAGUGGUAGUGGUAGUAGUGGUAGUGGUGGUAGCAGUAGUAGUAUCAGUAGUGGUAGUACUAGUAGUUGUAGCAGUAGUAGUAGUAGUAGUAGUAGUAGUUGUAGUAGUAGUAGUAGUGGUAGUGGUAGUGGUAGUGUUAGUAGCAGUAGUAGUAUCAGCAGCAGUAGCAGUAGUAGUAUCAGCAGCAGUAGCAGUAGCAGCAGCAGCAGUAGCAGUAGUAGUAGUAGUAGUAGCAUUAGCAGUAGUAGUAGUAGUAGUAGUAGUAUUACUAGUAGUAGUAGUAUUAGUAGUAGUAGUAGUAGUAGCAGUAGUAGUAGCAGCAGUAGUAGUAGUAGUAGCAGUAGCAGUAGUAGUAG